UGUAAUGCCGUGCAAGGAGCAGCGGUAAUCCGGGCGGCCCAAAAGUUAUUAGGGUUUACUGGGCGUAAAGAGUUCGGAGGCGGCUGGGAAAGGAGGGUGUGAAAGCCCUCGGCUCAACCGAGGAAUUGCGCUCCAAACUACCGAGCUUGAGGAAGCUAGAGGUGAGCAGAACUGAUGGUGGAGCGGUGAAAUGCGUUGAUAUCAUCAGGAAUACCGGAGGCGAAGGCGGCUCACUGGGACUUUUCUGACGCUGAGGAACGAAAGCUAGGGGAGCAAACGGGAUUAGAUACCCUAGUAGUC
RNAcentral lists this ribosomal RNA (300 nucleotides) under uncultured Haloplanus sp. RNAcentral's name for it is "bacterial SSU rRNA". It matches the Rfam family "Bacterial small subunit ribosomal RNA", at positions 496 to 795 of the family's 1533-position model. Lineage: Archaea; Methanobacteriati; Methanobacteriota; Halobacteria; Halobacteriales; Haloferacaceae. The record is from RNAcentral.